RNAcentral lists this ribosomal RNA (253 nucleotides) under uncultured bacterium. RNAcentral describes it as "partial 16S ribosomal RNA". It matches the Rfam family "Bacterial small subunit ribosomal RNA", at positions 524 to 776 of the family's 1533-position model. The record is from RNAcentral.
UACGUAGGCAGCAAACGUUGUUCGGAGUUACUGGGCGUAAAGAGUACGUAGGCGGUUUGCCAAGUUUGACGUGAAAGCUCCCGGCUUAACUGGGAGAGGUCGUUGAAUACUGGAAGACUUGAGGCAAUGAGAGGGGUGUAGAAUUCCCGGUGUAGUGGUGGAAUGCGUAGAUAUCGGGGGGAAUACCAGUGGCGAAAGCGGCACCCUAGCGUUAGCCUGACGCUCAUGUGCGAAAGCGUGGGGAGCGAACGGG